AGAUGGCGACCGGCGCACGGGUGAGUAACACGUAUCCAACCUGCCGAUAACUCGGGGAUAGCCUUUCGAAAGAAAGAUUAAUACCCGAUGGCAUAAUAGAACCGCAUGGUUUGAUUAUUAAAGAAUUUCGGUCAUCGAUGGGGAUGCGUUCCAUUAGGUUGUUGGCGGGGUAACGGCCCACCAAGCCUUCGAUGGAUAGGGGUUCUGAGAGGAAGGUCCCCCACAUUGGAACUGAGACACGGUCCAAACUCCUACGGGAGGCAGCAUG
This 268-nucleotide ribosomal RNA is filed under the name uncultured bacterium. RNAcentral describes it as "partial 16S ribosomal RNA". It matches the Rfam family "Bacterial small subunit ribosomal RNA", at positions 86 to 353 of the family's 1533-position model. The record is from RNAcentral.